AGAAAUUAGUUAAUUUAUAAUAUUGACUUGUCAUGUCAAAGUAAUCUCUAAAGAUAUUUCUU
Molecule: transfer RNA, 62 nt
Filed under: Carpilius convexus
Lineage: Eukaryota; Metazoa; Arthropoda; Malacostraca; Decapoda; Carpiliidae
Description: tRNA-Asp
Source: RNAcentral